AUGGCCGCAAUGUUCAAUCCUCCUCCGGCUCCAAGGGCUCUUGGGCCGCAGCCGACGUGGAUGCCCUACGAGCCGACCAGGGAUUGCUCCCAGGGCCUGUGCAGCAUGUACUGCCCGCAGUGGUGCUACUUCAUCUUCCCACCCCCGCCGCCGGUCUUCGACAUCGCCGGCCCCAGCGGCGACGGCGACGGCGACUCCGGCCCCGCCUUCUCGCCCCUCGUCAUCGCCAUCAUCGGGGUGCUCGCCAGCGCCUUCCUCCUCGUCAGCUACUACACCAUCAUCUCCAAGUACUGCGGCACCUUCAGCUCCCUGCGGAGCAGGCUCUUUGGCCCCGGCGCCGGCCGCGGCGGUGGUGGCGGAGGCGGUGGCGACGGCCGGGGCGAUUCCAGGAGACAGGAGGAGUGGGAGGUCUCGCCGUCGGACGGGAUGGACGAGACGCUGAUCAGAAAGAUCACCGUGUGCAAGUACAAGCGCGGCGACGGGUUCGUCGACUCCACGGACUGCUCCGUCUGCCUGGGCGAGUUCCGGGACGGCGAGAGCCUGCGGCUGCUGCCCAAGUGCAGCCACGCUUUCCACCUGCCGUGCAUCGACACCUGGCUCAAGUCGCACUCCAACUGCCCGCUCUGCCGCUGCAACAUCGCCUUCGUCGCCGUCGGCAUGGUUUCGCCGGAGCCGGAGGGCGGUGCUGCGCCUGCGCCGCGGGAGGACCGGAGAGGCAGCCAAGAAUUCGCUCUGACGAUCGACGACUACUCCUCCGGGCAAGCGCGCGACGAGCCACAGAUUGUGGCGAGCAGCAACAGCGGCGGCAAUCAGGAGGCGAAGGAUCGUCCGGGGAGAUCCGAGGCGGCCAAUGGCGUAGUCGUCGAGAUCAGAGAGGACGGCACCGUCCCGCCGGUCCCUGCCAGGGUGCCUGCGCCGAUGCCAGACACGCAGCGUGAAGCCCGCAUGUCCAUUGCCGACGUGCUGCAGGCCAGCCCAGAAGACGAGCGUACGGUGGGCAGGGAGGGCGGCCUCCUGCAGGCAGGCUCCUCGAGGCGGUGCCACGGGGAGCACAGCAAGGAACCGCCGGAUGCACCGACGAAGAAGCUGCCGCCGGCUGGCAGGUCGUGCUUCAGCGGCAAGGGUGGCGGCAGAGGAAAGGAUCCAGGCCCUCCAGUGUGA
Molecule: ribosomal RNA, 1161 nt
Filed under: Triticum aestivum (bread wheat)
Lineage: Eukaryota; Viridiplantae; Streptophyta; Magnoliopsida; Poales; Poaceae
Description: partial small subunit ribosomal RNA
Source: RNAcentral